This 304-nucleotide unclassified non-coding RNA is filed under the name uncultured Pyronemataceae. Its description in RNAcentral is "sequence contains ITS1". The stretch from base 1 to 105 matches the Rfam family "5.8S ribosomal RNA", at positions 50 to 154 of the family's 154-position model. The record is from RNAcentral. Lineage: Eukaryota; Fungi; Ascomycota; Pezizomycetes; Pezizales; Pyronemataceae.
GAAAUGCGAUAAGUAGUGUGAAUUGCAGAAUUCAGUGAAUCAUCGAAUCUUUGAACGCACAUUGCGCCUUCUGGUAUUCCGGAAGGCAUGCCUGUCCGAGCGUCAUUAAAAACCACUCAAGUAGUUUUGCUUGGUUAUGAAAGAAGAGUUUGCUUGCAAAUUCCCUUUCGAAAUUCAAUGGCGGAGAGUCUCAUGAUUCCAGCGUAGUAAUAACUUAUUCGCUUGGUCAUUGUAACAAUCCUGCCUUCAACCCCCAAUUCUAAUGUUUGACCUCGGAUCAGGUAGGGAUACCCGCUGAACUUAA